GGAAGGAUCAUUACCUAGAGUUGUAGGCUUUGCCUGCUAUCUCUUACCCAUGUCUUUUGAGUACCUUCGUUUCCUCGGCGGGUCCGCCCGCCGAUUGGACACAUUUAAACCCUUUGUAGUUGCAAUCAGCGUCUGAAAAACUUUAAUAGUUACAACUUUCAACAACGGAUCUCUUGGUUCUGGCAUCGAUGAAGAACGCAGCGAAAUGCGAUAAGUAGUGUGAAUUGCAGAAUUCAGUGAAUCAUCGAAUCUUUGAACGCACAUUGCGCCCCUUGGUAUUCCAUGGGGCAUGCCUGUUCGAGCGUCAUUUGUACCUUCAAGCUUUGCUUGGUGUUGGGUGUUUGUCUCGCCUCUGCGCGCAGACUCGCCUCAAAACAAUUGGCAGCCGGCGUAUUGAUUUCGGAGCGCAGUACAUCUCGCGCUUUGCACUCAUAACGACGACGUCCAAAAAGUACAUUUUUUACACUCUUGACCUCGGAUCAGGUAGGGAUACCCGCUGAACUUAAGCAUAUCAAUAAGCGGAGGAAAAGAAACCAACAGGGAUUGCCCUAGUAACGGCGAGUGAAGCGGCAACAGCUCAAAUUUGAAAUCUGGCGUCUUCGGCGUCCGAGUUGUAAUUUGCAGAGGGCGCUUUGGCAUUGGCAGCGGUCCAAGUUCCUUGGAACAGGACGUCACAGAGGGUGAGAAUCCCGUACGUGGUCGCUAGCCUUUACCGUGUAAAGCCCCUUCGACGAGUCGAGUUGUUUGGGAAUGCAGCUCUAAAUGGGAGGUAAAUUUCUUCUAAAGCUAAAUACUGGCCAGAGACCGAUAGCGCACAAGUAGAGUGAUCGAAAGAUGAAAAGCACUUUGGAAAGAGAGUUAAAAAGCACGUGAAAUUGUUGAAAGGGAAGCGCUUGCAGCCAGACUUGCCUGUAGUUGCUCAUCCGGGUUUCUACCCGGUGCACUCUUCUAUAGGCAGGCCAGCAUCAGUUUGGGCGGUUGGAUAAAGGUCUCUGUCAUGUACCUCCUUUCGGGGAGAACUUAUAGGGGAGACGACAUGCAACCAGCCCGGACUGAGGUCCGCGCAUCUGCUAGGAUGCUGGCGUAAUGGCUGUAAGCGGCCCGUCUUGAAACACGGACCAAGGAGUCUAACAUCUAUGCGAGUGUUUGGGUGUCAAGCCCGAACGCGUAAUGAAAGUGAACGGAGGUGGGAACCUUUCGGGGUGCACCAUCGACCGAUCCUGAUGUCUUCGGAUGGAUUUGAGUAAGAGCAUAGCUGUUGGGACCCGAAAGAUGGUGAACUAUGCUUGAAUAGGGUGAAGCCAGAGGAAACUCUGGUGGAGGCUCGCAGCGGUUCUGACGUGCAAAUCGAUCGUCAAAUUUGGGCAUAGGGGCGAAAGACUAAUCGAACUAUCUAGUAGCUGGUUCCUGC
This 1411-nucleotide unclassified non-coding RNA is filed under the name uncultured fungus. Its description in RNAcentral is "sequence contains 18S rRNA gene, ITS1, 5.8S rRNA gene, ITS2, 28S rRNA gene". The stretch from base 470 to 1411 matches the Rfam family "Eukaryotic large subunit ribosomal RNA", at positions 1 to 961 of the family's 3401-position model. RNAcentral also lists the same sequence under 1 other name. Lineage: Eukaryota; Fungi. The record is from RNAcentral.